AACACCCUGCAAUUCACGUAUAGAGCCUACAUUUUUUACCAACACUUCUUAUACGGGAUUUCGGCUCUUUUUGCGGCGUAUACGCCUCCUUUUCCUAUCGGAACUGCCAGUGGACAUAUAAUGCAAGAAGGAGAUAACCCACCUGCGUUUGCAGGUAAGAAAUCGGGUCUUGUCUACGGUCUGUGUGGGGUUUUU
This 195-nucleotide non-coding RNA is filed under the name Clostridia bacterium. Its description in RNAcentral is "6S RNA". It matches the Rfam family "6S / SsrS RNA". Rfam says of the family: E. coli 6S RNA was the first non coding RNA to be sequenced, but its function was unknown until recently. It consists of 184 nucleotides that fold into an extended hairpin structure with a large single-stranded internal bulge. The 6S RNA specifically associates with RNA polymerase holoenzyme containing the sigma70 specificity factor. Lineage: Bacteria; Bacillati; Bacillota; Clostridia. The record is from RNAcentral.